RNAcentral lists this ribosomal RNA (290 nucleotides) under uncultured bacterium. Its description in RNAcentral is "partial 16S ribosomal RNA". It matches the Rfam family "Bacterial small subunit ribosomal RNA", at positions 333 to 639 of the family's 1533-position model. The record is from RNAcentral.
UAUUUCCUACGGGAGGCAGCAGUGGGGGAUAUUGCACAAUGGGGGAAACCCUGAUGCAGCGACGCCGCGUGAGUGAAGAAGUAUUUCGGUAUGUAAAGCUCUAUCAGCAGGGAAGAAAAAAGACGGUACCUGACUAAGAAGCCCCGGCUAACUACGUGCCAGCAGCCGCGGUAAUACGUAGGGGGCAAGCGUUAUCCGGAUUUACUGGGCGUAAAGGGAGCGUAGACGGCAAUACAAGUCGGAAGUGAAAAACCCGGGCUCAACCUGGGAAGUGCUUUGGAAACUGUAUG